RNAcentral lists this ribosomal RNA (497 nucleotides) under uncultured bacterium. RNAcentral describes it as "partial 16S ribosomal RNA". It matches the Rfam family "Bacterial small subunit ribosomal RNA", at positions 28 to 507 of the family's 1533-position model. The record is from RNAcentral.
GAUGAACGCUGGCGGCGUGCCUAAUACAUGCAAGUCGAGCGAACGGACGAGAAGCUUGCUUCUCUGAUGUUAGCAGCGGACGGGUGAGUAACACGUGGAUAACCUACCUAUAAGACUGGGAUAACUUCGGGAAACCGGAGCUAAUACCGGAUAAUAUUUUGAACCGCAUGGUUCAAAAGUGAAAGACGGUCUUGAUGUCACUUAUAGAUGGAUCCGCGCUGCAUUAGCUAGUUGGUAAGGUAACGGCUUACCAAGGCAACGAUGCAUAGCCGACCUGAGAGGGGGAUCGGCCACACGGGAACUGAGACACGGUCCAGACCCCUACGGGAGGCAGCAGUAGGGAAUCUUCCGCAAUGGGCGAAAGCCUGACGGAGCAACGCCGCGUGAGUGAUGAAGGUCUUCGGAUCGUAAAACUCUGUUAUUAGGGAAGAACAUAUGUGUAAGUAACUGUGCACAUCUUGACGGUACCUAAUCAGAAAGCCACGGCUAACUACGUG